AUGACCAAACCAGACAGAAUCUCUCUCUCAUUUCACCUCAUCUGUCCUGCUGGGUCUUCCACAGGGUCUUCGUGCUCUGGGCACACAUCUUUUAAGAAGGCACCCCUGAGGUCACAGGGGGAGGAGGUGGGGAAGAAGAUCCUCCAUGUCUGCAUCUGUGAGGCAAACACAUCCCAUCAGGCAGAAGACAGAAAACAUAAAAAGAGAAGCAUGUUCCCCAUUUCUCUUUCCACAAUCCUGUGAUACUUCAGGGACUCCCUAACUUCCAGAUCAAAGUGAAAAUCAUUUUGGAUUACGUUGCAAUAGAUAUGAUUACUCAACUACAACUUGUCUACAACUUUUAAAAUCCUCUAAAGAUUCAGCUUCAAUAACAAUUUGUGGCAAUGAGUUACACAGAUGGCUCAUGUAUUGUUAAAAAAGCACCUGGAAAAAAUACCUCCCAGAUUAGCUGAACAACCAGCUACUAUUUCUGUAGUGUGCUCCGUGCACCGUCAUAUUUUUUAUACCAUUCAAUUACAUCUCUUCCUGCUGUUAUAAACUACAUAACCAAAGGCUUUAAUUUUCAGUCUUUCCUUGUGAAGCCCACCUUGCAGAAAUAUUAAUCAUUUCUGACAGUGUCAAAAGAGGUUGGUGACUUGUGAAAUAGGCUGUACCAGCACUGAAGAAGACAAUCUUAUUGAAGCCGAGUUAUUGAUGACACAAUGGUGUUUCUAGGUCUGAGGAGUUUCUUGGAGCUUCAGACAUUGUGAGAAAACUUUUGCAGAGCUCUGUGAAGUCUCCAGACCUGUGGAAGGCCAGACACUCAAGAAUUCCAAUGAUGUCUUGCAGACAUAUAAAAUAGCUCCAGUGAGGGUAUCAUUCAUUUGCCAAAG
Molecule: long non-coding RNA, 872 nt
Filed under: Anser brachyrhynchus (Pink-footed goose)
Lineage: Eukaryota; Metazoa; Chordata; Aves; Anseriformes; Anatidae
Description: lncRNA (ENSABRG00000014960.1)
Source: RNAcentral